AUUUGCUGGGUGAGCAGAAGAGAGAGCCUGGGAGGAAAUAUCAGGGGCUGUGAACAAGAACCAGGGAGAAGAAACGUUCAGGGAGGAAAUAGCAGUCACAAGUGACAGAGAUUGGUGAAGAAAGGCAGCUUGGAAUUUGUAUAAAUGAAAGAGAGAGAUAGGAUGGGUGAAAAUGAUUGAUGGAAGAAUUUUGACCUACUGGGUUUGAGCGCUAAAUCUCACCAAUUGACGGGAUGCUUAGGGAUUUGCAACCGCCUCAUCGCUGCCCCCUACCUGCGCAUAUUCAAAACGUCUCUGCUAAAAGCUGUUAUUACCCACAGAGCCAACAGGGGCCGCUCGUUUACCCACAGACAGUCGGAAAAAAAUGGCCGCCGGAUCACAGAGAGCAAAAAGUACGUUCUCUUCAAGAAUUUCCGAGUUCUUCCCGCGGCCGUUCAGGAUGCUGCUUGCAGUUACCAACACUAUUCCCCUGCACUGAGUUGACCUGAGCUUCCCUGCCUACCUCCUGUCACGGAUGUCACCUUCUUUCACCCCUGUCCUGUCAAGGUUUUUGCUUUAAAAUGCUAUAGACCAAAGACGGGCAAAUCAACAGUCUUACACACAAAUCCUUUCGUUCUACUUGGCUACAAGCAGGGCUAAUCUUCCGAAGAGGAACCCCACUACUGCCUCCUUAUAAGGGAAAAACUCCUCUCAGAGGAACCCAGAACGCCCUGUGAUGACAGAGGUGAGGGGCCAGCGUGGCAGAAUGCAUCACCCUGUCUCCCCGCUUGCUUCUCUCUCCGUCGGAUUGCCAAAAAGGGAAGGGCACCUAGACUCCGAAAAGUGAUUGAAGCAAAGGGAGUUUAAACAACGCGCUCAGCCGCCUGGGUCUUGAACCCAGUGUUAAUGAGAGCAAAAACCUCUGCAUCCUCCACUGAGCUGUC
RNAcentral lists this long non-coding RNA (923 nucleotides) under Pongo abelii (Sumatran orangutan). Its description in RNAcentral is "lincRNA". The record is from RNAcentral. Lineage: Eukaryota; Metazoa; Chordata; Mammalia; Primates; Hominidae.